This 399-nucleotide ribosomal RNA is filed under the name uncultured bacterium. Its description in RNAcentral is "partial 16S ribosomal RNA". It matches the Rfam family "Bacterial small subunit ribosomal RNA", at positions 360 to 776 of the family's 1533-position model. The record is from RNAcentral.
AAUCUUCCGCAAUGGGCGCAAGCCUGACGGAGCAAUGCCGCGUGUGGGAUGAAGCGGCUACGCCGUGUAAACCACUGUCAGGUGGUAGAAACACUGAUCGCCACCAGAGGAAGAGCCGGCUAACCCUGUGCCAGCAGCCGCGGUAAGACAGGGGGCUCGAGCGUUAAUCGGAAUCACUGGGCUUAAAGGGUGCGUAGGCGGUUUCGCAAGCGUCCCGUGAAAUCCCCCGGCUCAACCGGGGAAUAGCGGGGCGAACUGCGAGGCUUGAGGCAUGUAGGGGUGGACGGAACUCUAGGUGGAGCGGUGAAAUGCGUAGAUAUCUAGAGGAACGCCGAUGGUGAAGACGGUCCACUGGGCAUGUCCUGACGCUGAGGCACGAAAGCGUGGGGAGCAAACAGG